GAUGAACGCUGGCGGCGUGCCUAAUACAUGCAAGUCGAGCGAACGGACGAGAAGCUUGCUUCUCUGAUGUUAGCGGCGGACGGGUGAGUAACACGUGGAUAACCUACCUAUAAGACUGGGAUAACUUCGGGAAACCGGAGCUAAUACCGGAUAAUAUUUUGAACCGCAUGGUUCAAAAGUGAAAGACGGUCUUGCUGUCACUUAUAGAUGGAUCCGCGCUGCAUUAGCUAGUUGGUAAGGUAACGGCUUACCAAGGCAACGAUGCAUAGCCGACCUGAGAGGGUGAUCGGCCACACUGGAACUGAGACACGGUCCAGACUCCUACGGGAGGAAGCAGUAGGGAAUCUUCCGCAAUGGGCGAAAGCCUGACGGAGCAACGCCGCGUGAGUGAUGAAGGUCUUCGGAUCUUAAAACUCUGUUAUUAGGGAAGAACAUAUGUGUAAGUAACUGUGCACAUCUUGACGGUACCUAAUCAGAAAGCCACGGCUAACUACGUG
This 497-nucleotide ribosomal RNA is filed under the name uncultured bacterium. RNAcentral describes it as "partial 16S ribosomal RNA". It matches the Rfam family "Bacterial small subunit ribosomal RNA", at positions 28 to 507 of the family's 1533-position model. The record is from RNAcentral.